GGCGCCGGGGGGAGACGGGGGACGGCGUCCUGUGAGCCCCCCCCGGUACGCGCUGAUGCAGAGCUGCCAAAGAGACGUGAAACCAAACCCAACGAGAAAUCACUGAGGGGGGAAAAAGUGCAGGCUGAGAGGUAAAAUGAAAAACUGGCCUUUUGAGAGUAACUGCUGGGAACUGUGACAAACCAAGAGACCAGAGGAUUACUACACACAGCUCCUGCAGAUCCUCAUCUAAGGCAUCGGGUCAGCUGCGUAUCCCGAGGUGUCGGUUCAGCAGCCAAGGAUGGAAGUGCUACGCCGUUCCUCAGUCUUUGCUGCAGAGGUGAUGGAGGUUUUUGACAGGUCUCCCACUGACAAGGAGCUUGUGUCCCAAGCCAAGGCUCUCUGCAGAGACUACAUAAAUUCGAGGCUAAUUCGGGCGGGUGUCAGCUGGAGCAAACCUGAGUACAACGUCCCGGUGCCUGGCGGUAAGCUGGCCGAGGUGUCCACCAUACUGCUGCGACUAGGGGAUGAGCUGGAAUACAUUCGUCCCAACGUCUACCGGAACAUCGCCCGCCAGUUGAACAUCUCCCUGCACUCGGAGACGGUGGUGACAGACGCCUUCCUGGCAGUAGCUGCGCAGAUUUUCACUGCAGGCAUAACGUGGGGCAAAGUGGUGUCUCUCUAUGCUGUGGCAGCCGGGCUGGCCGUGGACUGUGUGCGACAUGCACAGCCAGCCAUGGUUCACACCAUCGUGGACUGCCUGGGGGAGUUUGUCCGCAAGACCUUGGUGACGUGGCUGAAAAGGAGAGGAGGCUGGGCAGACAUCACAAAAUGCGUGGUGAAUACUGACCCCAGCCUUCGCUCCCACUGGCUUGUGGCUGCUGUUUGCAGCUUUGGUCACUUCCUCAAGGCCAUCUUCUUCGUCCUGCUGCCCGAGAGAUGAGUCCCAGUUGCCAAGCGCAGUCCCCCACCCCAUCUCCUCCCCCACUCCAGAAGCAGUGGUGAUGGCGAUCUCUGAAGAUGAGGAAGAGGAGGACUGGACCAAACAGCUUGUUCUUCUCCCCCUUCAGCUGGGACCAGACGAUCAACCACAGUCUCCUUUUGCAGCCACAGGAUCCUCUCUCACCCUUAGUCCUUUCAAGAGCCUUGUUUCCCCGGGUGACUCGGGCGCCCUGAUUGCAGCUGCCUGCAGCGGGGCUGCCAGGCGUCUGUCCCUUCGGCCGUGUGGCAUGCGUCUGCUGGUGCCAGAGGGGAGGGGGAAGGGGGUAUUAUUUGAAAUGGGAUAGAAGAUAGGAGAGGGGGAGAGUCCCUCCUUUGCUCUACGUUAGUCCUCAGGCUUGCCUUGUGUUGGUUCUUGUCGUUACAUCUGUGCUUAAAGUCCAUCUCCUCCUUUAUACCUGACUGACUUGCCCACAGCAUGGUGGAGGAGAUAGAUAAUGCAGCUGUGGAUUUUUAACGUGAUUAAAAAAAACAAACAACAUACUGAUGUCAGAUGCUUCUCCCCAACACAUUUUGGAAACCGGGCUGAGUGGCUGUGAGAGGGGCAGGACUAGAGGGCAGCUGCAUGUCAUACCGUUCCCGGGUGUAUUUUGUUGGUCCCUCUUGCUGUGCUCACACGCAGUUUCAAACGGCAGCGCCUUCAAGCAACAACUGGGGACUGAAUUUCAUAACAAAGAAAAGUGUUUCUUCUGCUGAGAUUUUGUCAGAGGAAAGGAGCCAGAGGCAACUUCGGAGCUGCUGCUGCUCAAUCUGUGUCCAGGACUCCCUCGCGCAAGAGCAGUUUCUAUACGUGUCUCUGCUACGGGACUGAGAUGUGCCUACUGGGAAUGGGGGCCAGUGCCAGUCCCCUUGGCUCCAUGACCCGCUUUGGGACUGGGGAUACGUCAUAUGGUCAGCUGUCACCCCAACGGUAAUGGGAUAAAGGUGCAAGAGACCCAAGAAGAACUUGUCCAAGGGGCUUGCCCAGGUGCUGCCAUGUGGCAAACAAGUUACCCAUUACUGAAACAUUCAGAGCCCAAAAGUGGAAAUAGUAAGUUUUCUGUGUGAACUAAGGUGUAAUAAUCCUGCAAAAUCAAUGUCUUCUAAAGGCUUGACAGCUCAGGUCCAGCAUGGAGUGCCUCUGCAGCCGAUUUAUUCACUUGGGAAACUGGAAGCAAGGUGGGGGGAAGCACCAUGAAGACACGCUGUUAAGGAGGAAUUUGGGUGCCUGCAGCUGCUGCAGGCUCCCCGGGGGGCAAAUACCCGUUACUCCA
This is an RNA transcript of Calidris pugnax (ruff), 2231 nucleotides long. It is a transcript of the gene named BCL2-related ovarian killer, with no coding region annotated. The record is from RefSeq and is a predicted model, not a curated record. NCBI's taxonomy places the organism in Eukaryota, Metazoa, Chordata, Aves, Charadriiformes, Scolopacidae. The transcript has 6 exons.